AUGCACAUGACAUAAAAUUUACUACCUUAACCAUUUUUAAAUGUUCAAUUGAACAGUUAAGGAUAUUCACAUUGUUGUGCAACAGUCUCCAGAACUUUUUUCACUUUUGUAAAUAAUAAUCAUCAUCUAAAUGUAAAAAGUUACAUUUUCUUCAAUUGUUCAUUAAAAAAAAAAAGCAAUUUGCCCAUUCUAUGCUGAAUAUACUUCCAAGAAAGGUCCCCACCUUUCUCGGAAAAGAAGCAACAAAUGUUCCCAUGAGGUGGUAAGUCCCCAAAAGGCAGGGACAAGGUCAUAUUGUAUCUCUGGUUCUUUGCAUAGUCUGUCACAUAGCAGGCACUUCAUGGAGAGGUUGAUGAUUAAAUGAAUGAAUAUUCCCAACGGGCCUGAAAUACAAAUGCAGGGUUCUAAAGCUGUGCCCUGGUGCCGUGGACUUCCAGGCACAAGUUGCUGCUACUGGUGCACUGGCCUUUGACCCAUGCCCCAGCCCCAGCUCCUGCCUGUCAUAACCUCUGGGGUCUAACACCUGCUGCCCUUCCCCUUUAUCCCUCCCUUCCCCUCAGAGCCUGCACCCCAGCUUGAACUCGCCACCUUUACCCUGAAUUUCCUGGCUCACAGUCUGCUCCUCUGCUUCAGGAAGCUCCCCUCCUUCCCUCCAUCCUGCUGCUAGAUCUCUCUCAUUGAUUGGUGUCCCCUUUUCUCGGUAGAAUAACUUUUCUUCCACUCCCUGCCUCAUUCACAUUUAUUGAGAACCAGAGUUCCAUUCUGGUGUAGCAUCUCCAGUUUCAGAAAAAGUUGGUCACAUUCUGAAAAAAUGUGCCACCCCCUCCAGAGGUCUUGGAAGUAGACGAAGGUCCUUCAGGAUCUCCAGGGAAAGCUCUGUCUUUCUUGUUUCCUUCUAAUUUUUCCUUGAGCACCAGCAUUCAAGAUAAGAAUUGAAAGAAAUCAUUGUGACAAUCACAAAAAGGAGGGAAGUACUGACACACGCUAUGACUUAGAGGAGCCCUAAAGACAUUAUGCUAAGUGAGAGAAGCCAGGCCCACAAGCCCAGGUGGCUCCCUUACCCAAAAGUCCUGGAAAGGCAAACCUACAGAGAAAGAAAGUAGCUUACUUAGGGCUGAAAAGAGGAACAGAGGAGAUAGGUAAAGGUAUGGGCUUCUUUUUGAGGUGCAGAAAAUGUGCUAAAAUUGACUGUGGUGUCAGUUAUACAUGUCUGCACAUAUACUAAAAAAAUCAGAAUUAUAUGCUUUAAAUGAGCAAAAAGGAAAGGUCCAUUGCUAUCUUUAUAUAGCUGUUGCAAAAUUUUAAAAUUACCAAUUUAUACAUAUAAAAUUAUAUAUGUACAUAAAAUAUACAUGAUGUAAAUAAAUACCCUGUACCUAUUAUCUGAAAGUAGAACUUCAU
RNAcentral lists this long non-coding RNA (1401 nucleotides) under Marmota monax (woodchuck). Lineage: Eukaryota; Metazoa; Chordata; Mammalia; Rodentia; Sciuridae. The record is from RNAcentral.